Oncorhynchus keta (chum salmon) is the source of this 920-nucleotide long non-coding RNA. RefSeq lists it as uncharacterized. The record is from RefSeq and is a predicted model, not a curated record. The transcript has 8 exons. NCBI's taxonomy places the organism in Eukaryota, Metazoa, Chordata, Actinopteri, Salmoniformes, Salmonidae.
GGUGAGUAGGUGACUCAAAGAGAGAGAAAGAGUUGUGCAGUUUUGAACAAAUUGAUUUCUUCCAAAAUGAAUGAGAAGCAAGAGAGCGAUGGAGAGAAAGAUUGUCAUUUAUUUUCAGUUUCACUUACUUAGCUAGCAAAUGCAGCUAGCUAGUUUAGCCUACUCAAACACCCUGCUCAAACAGAGGGAUGCUAUAUUAGCUUGCUGGCUAUGGCUAUCCAACACAACACUCUUCCAAGUCAAGGAACAUUGCUUGAUUCUUCUCCCCAGGACCUUGGGGGACUUUUGGUGUGGAUGAUGUUAAGGGCCUACCAAAGCAAGGUUUCUCAAACAACUGUGGGGUGUUUGUUUUGAUGUAUGCUCUGUACACUCCAAUGGAAGCACAGUGUGAUUUCACUGAGGAAAACAUGCAGCAAAUUAGGCGAUGGUGGUGCCUAGUUCUCCUGCAGAACUUUCCCAUGCAAUCUGAAGAAGAGAGGUUGAAAGAUCAAAAAAGGCGGUGAAAACAAAACACACUACAGACGAUACUGAAAACAAAAUGCAUGGCGAACUGGGAGCUGUGAACUGGGAUACAGAUGUUCUUCUAAGGGAUACCAUAGAGACAGCAAGGUGAUGCGAACAGCAAACAUUUAAAGGCACUGUUUCUCUCCCUGGUGUAAUUGGGAUGGAUGAAUGGCCGCAUUAACCCUUAAAGAACUACAGUUGUAUGAUGGCCUGGAUGAAGAGGAAAAUAUUCUCCUCAAGAAACCAUUCAUGUUACAGAGAGAUGAGAUGUUCUAUGUGACAAGAAGAACAUGACUGUCUUUGUCUCUUUUGAGGAGCAGGAGUGAAGCCAUUUUUGAGGAGUGAUCAAACCUUGUUUUUGUCUGCUAUCUUAAUUGUUAAUUGUGUUAUGUUUAGUAAAGAUGCUGUAGAAGUCA